CAACUGCAAAGCACCUUAAUUUCUACAGUAAAAUAACAUUUUAGUCAAUUAGCAGACACUUUUCCUGAGUCAGAUACAACUGCAUCUCAGUUCUAGUAAACAAAUGGUACAUUUGCUUGAAAGCAGGUCCUUGGGGGCAGUGGCUCUUCUUGGGACACUACUAUAGGAGGACGGGUGCUCUACUCCAUGACAGCUCCUGAGGUCUCUGACCUGUGAGGAUAGACGAGGGGCCGGGUGGGGCCCAGGCCAGAGACGAGGGGCCGGGUGGAGCCCAGGCCAGAGACGAGGGGCCAGGUGGAGCCCAGGCCAGAGACGAGGGGCCAGGUGGAGCCCAGGUCGAGGGGGCCAAGUGGAGCCCAGGGCUCCAAUACCUAGUGGAUCAUCCUUUUUGUUUUCUCCCUCAACACCACGGUUACCAGUCUGUUUGGCUAACAUACCACUCCUUGUGAGAUGGGUUUUCCUCAGUACUUACCUUUAAACACACCUUACCUUGGUCUUUAAGAACUCCGCCCCCUCAGAGGGAAAACAUUUUCAAUUACAGCAAGAGAACAUUUUCUAUUUUUAUUAUUUUAUUUCAAAACAGUGUUUUGCUUCAAUGCAACGGCAGCUGAAUUCCACAGAACGAUAAAAACCAUUGUCAUGUUUAAUGACUUCAUGGGAAGAAAAGAGAAACCUCAAACAGUUGGCUUGAAUAAAACACAAGAAGAAGAAUACCUACAAAAAGGAGACAGAAUAACAACACGUUGUAAAAGAAUGAAGACCAAAUAGAUUUAAAAGGAAAUCUGGAGAAAACAGACAGUAAGACCAGGACAGCAUGUAAAAUGAGGGAUCCAUUGAUGGGAUAUACUGUCCAGAAUAUCAUCUUCAGAAGUUAAAGACUUCAGAGAGACGUGGAGACUUUAGGGGGGGACAGAGUUAAAGAAGUUAAACAGACGUGGAGACUUUAGGGGGG
This is a long non-coding RNA of Oncorhynchus tshawytscha (Chinook salmon), 952 nucleotides long. The record is from Ensembl. NCBI's taxonomy places the organism in Eukaryota, Metazoa, Chordata, Actinopteri, Salmoniformes, Salmonidae.